RNAcentral lists this ribosomal RNA (507 nucleotides) under uncultured Glomeraceae. RNAcentral's name for it is "SSU rRNA". It matches the Rfam family "Eukaryotic small subunit ribosomal RNA", at positions 569 to 1078 of the family's 1831-position model. The record is from RNAcentral. Lineage: Eukaryota; Fungi; Glomeromycota; Glomeromycetes; Glomerales; Glomeraceae.
AGCAGCCGCGGUAAUUCCAGCUCCAAUAGCGUAUAUUAAAGUUGUUGCAGUUAAAAAGCUCGUAGUUGAAUUUCGGGACCAAUUUGCUGGUCGUGCCUCGGUACGUACUGGUAUUAUUGGUUUCUCCCUUCUGAAGAACCAUGAUGCCAUUAAUUUGGUGUCGUGGGGAAUCAGGACUGUUACUUUGAAAAAAUUAGAGUGUUUAAAGCAGGCAUACGCUUGAAUACAUUAGCAUGGAAUAAUGAAAUAGGACGUUUGAUUCUAUUUUGUUGGUUUCUAGGAUCGACGUAAUGAUUAAUAGGGAUAGUUGGGGGCAUUAGUAUUCAAUUGUCAGAGGUGAAAUUCUUGGAUUUAUUGAAGACUAACUACUGCGAAAGCAUUUGCCAAGGAUGUUUUCAUUAAUCAAGAACGAAAGUUAGGGGAUCGAAGACGAUCAGAUACCGUCGUAGUCUUAACCAUAAACUAUGCCGACUAGGGAUCGGAUGAUGUUAAUUUUUUAAUGACUCA